ACAUAUCAUAACGAAGAGGUAUCGUAAUUGAAGAGGUUUGGAAAGACCCACCACAGAAGGUAAUAGUCCUGUAUGUUAAACGAGAAGACUUUAGAUAUGAUCCAGAGUACCACGGGACACGUGAAACCCUGUGGGAAGCAGGAGGGACCACCCUCCAAGGCUAAAUACUACCUAGUGACCGAUAGCGUAUAGUACCGGGAGGGAAAGGUGAAAAGAACCCCGGGAGGGGAGUGAAAUAGAACCUGAAACCCUGCACU
This 257-nucleotide ribosomal RNA is filed under the name Clostridioides difficile. RNAcentral describes it as "partial 23S ribosomal RNA". It matches the Rfam family "Bacterial large subunit ribosomal RNA", at positions 305 to 564 of the family's 2925-position model. Lineage: Bacteria; Bacillati; Bacillota; Clostridia; Peptostreptococcales; Peptostreptococcaceae. The record is from RNAcentral.